UGUAUUCACUACUGUAAGUCGCUCUGGAUAAGAGCUUCUGCUAAAUGACUAAAA
Molecule: non-coding RNA, 54 nt
Organism: Salmo salar (Atlantic salmon)
Lineage: Eukaryota; Metazoa; Chordata; Actinopteri; Salmoniformes; Salmonidae
Source: Rfam